AUACGGAGGGUGCGAGCGUUAAUCGGAAUUACUGGGCGUAAAGGGUCCGUAGGCGGUCUGCUUAGUCUGAUGUGAAAGCCCCUGGCUUAACCUGGGAAUGGCAUUGGAUACUGGCGGACUAGAGUCUGGUAGAGGGUGGUGGAAUUCCCGGUGUAGCGGUGAAAUGCGUAGAUACCGGGAGGAACACCAGUGGCGAAGGCGGCCACCUGGACCAAGACUGACGCUGAGGGACGAAAGCGUGGGGAGCAAACAGGAUUAGAAACCCUAGUAGUCC
RNAcentral lists this ribosomal RNA (274 nucleotides) under uncultured bacterium. Its description in RNAcentral is "partial 16S ribosomal RNA". It matches the Rfam family "Bacterial small subunit ribosomal RNA", at positions 523 to 796 of the family's 1533-position model. The record is from RNAcentral.